ACCUGCUUGGCUGUCUCAUGAUAACCUUUUCUGCUUGUGAGGUUUGUUUCUUUGUUUCUUUGAGUGUUUUUGUUUUUGUUGUUGUUGUUGUUUUUGCAUUUGAAACAGGGUUUCACAUAGACCAGGGUAGCCUGGAACUUUGUGUCGCUAAGGAUGCUUGUCUUCUGGUCCUCCUGGCUGUGAUUAUAGCGGUAAGAAUGACAGCAUUCCAUUCUCUCUCUGUGUCAUCUCUGGCUGUGCCUCUAGCAUCUAUCAUGAGUGCACAGGAUGUGGCAUCUCUGGCUGUGCCUCUAGCAUCUAUCAAUCAUGAGUGCACAGGAUGAGGCGAAGCCUUUUGAACAUUCUGUUCUCUCCAUCCUCCAUCAAGUCUGAAUAUGCAGCCUACUUACUGGUCUCCCUUAACUCCUUCUUCACAAAGGGCCCUGUGAUGCAUAUCUUCUUUAUUACCUUCAGUUGAAGAUGUCUGCAAACCCUUGGAAUGCGCCCUAAGUUUUAGAAGUCUGCUGUUAUCUCAGAAGCAAUUAAGCAGUCCCAUUAUAAAAGGUCUUUGCACA
This is a long non-coding RNA of Mus musculus (house mouse), 554 nucleotides long. RefSeq annotates it as predicted gene, 39306. Lineage: Eukaryota; Metazoa; Chordata; Mammalia; Rodentia; Muridae. The transcript is spliced from 2 exons. The record is from RefSeq and is a predicted model, not a curated record.